GAUGAACGCUAGCUACAGGCUUAACACAUGCAAGUCGAGGGGAAACGACAUCGAAAGCUUGCUUUUGAUGGGCGUCGACCGGCGCACGGGUGAGUAACGCGUAUCCAACCUGCCCACCACUUGGGGAUAACCUUGCGAAAGUAAGACUAAUACCCGAUGAUAUCCCUAGACGACAUCUGAAAGGGAUUAAAGAUUUAUCGGUGAUGGAUGGGGAUGCGUCUGAUUAGGUUGUUGGCGGGGUAACGGCCCACCAAGCCAUCGAUCAGUAGGGGUUCUGAGAGGAAGGUCCCCCACAUUGGAACUGAGACACGGUCCAAACUCCUACGGGAGGCAGCAGUGAGGAAUAUUGGUCAAUGGGCGAGAGCCUGAACCAGCCAAGUAGCGUGCAGGACGACGGCCCUAUGGGUUGUAAACUGCUUUUAUACGGGAAUAAAGUGGGCCACGCGUGGUCUUUUGCAUGUACCGUAUGAAUAAGGACCGGCUAAUUCCGUG
RNAcentral lists this ribosomal RNA (492 nucleotides) under uncultured bacterium. RNAcentral's name for it is "bacterial SSU rRNA". It matches the Rfam family "Bacterial small subunit ribosomal RNA", at positions 28 to 507 of the family's 1533-position model. The record is from RNAcentral.